GAGCGAACACAGCUCUUUUAGAAUUUUUUUUUUUUCCUGGCUUUCUGAUCUUGCUCGGAAAACCCAA
RNAcentral lists this small nuclear RNA (67 nucleotides) under Mus pahari (shrew mouse). Its description in RNAcentral is "predicted gene, 23475 (MGP_PahariEiJ_G0033370.1)". The record is from RNAcentral. Lineage: Eukaryota; Metazoa; Chordata; Mammalia; Rodentia; Muridae.